GAUGAACGCUAGCGGCAGGCCUAAUACAUGCAAGUCGAACGGUGUAGCAAUACACAGUGGCGCACGGGUGCGUAACACGUAUGCAACCUACCUUACAUUGGGGGAUAGCCUUUCGAAAGGGAGAUUAAUACCGCAUAAGACAGUAACUAGGCAUCUAGUAGCUGUUAAAGAUUUAUCGAUGUAAGCUGGGCAUGCGUCCAAUUAGUUAGUUGGCGAGGUAAUGGCUCACCAAGACGAUGAUUGGUAGGGGAACUGAGAGGUCAAUCCCCCACACUGGCACUGAGAUACGGGCCAGACUCCUACGGGAGGCAGCAGUAGGGAAUAUUGGGCAAUGGGCGCAAGCCUGACCCAGCCAUGCCGCGUGCAGGAUGAAGGCGUUAUGCGUUGUAAACUGCUUUAUACAGAAGAAACGACUCUUGCGANAGGCAUUGACGGUACUGUAUGAAUAAGCACCGGCUAAC
Molecule: ribosomal RNA, 461 nt
Filed under: uncultured bacterium
Lineage: Bacteria
Description: bacterial SSU rRNA
Rfam family: Bacterial small subunit ribosomal RNA
Source: RNAcentral